GCACCUGCACAGACAAAAUCCUCUAAAUCUGUUGAAACACUCGAAGAUGUUGAGCCAUCUGAAAUGGGUCUUGAAGAGAUUGAAAGCAAAUUGGGUUCUCUUGUACAAGCAGAUACUAUUUCCCAAUUGAAGAGUGCUGUGUGGAAGGAACGGCUUGAAGCAAUAUCUUCAUUUAAACAACAAGUGGAAGGUUUAUCAGACCUAGACCACAGGGUUGAGUUAUUGAUUCGUUUACUGUGUGCUGUCCCUGGCUGGAGUGAGAAAAUGUCC
Long non-coding RNA from Humulus lupulus (European hop), 270 nucleotides. RefSeq lists it as uncharacterized. Lineage: Eukaryota; Viridiplantae; Streptophyta; Magnoliopsida; Rosales; Cannabaceae. The transcript has 3 exons. The record is from RefSeq and is a predicted model, not a curated record.